Non-coding RNA from Megalops atlanticus (tarpon), 74 nucleotides. Lineage: Eukaryota; Metazoa; Chordata; Actinopteri; Elopiformes; Megalopidae. The record is from the annotation of a GenBank genome assembly.
AGCAGUGUGGUAUAGUGGUAGGGAGCAGGGUUAGUGACCCCAAGGUUGCUGGUUCGAUCUCCCUGCCAUGGCCC